This 702-nucleotide ribosomal RNA is filed under the name uncultured Aurantimonadaceae bacterium. RNAcentral describes it as "bacterial SSU rRNA". It matches the Rfam family "Bacterial small subunit ribosomal RNA", at positions 28 to 776 of the family's 1533-position model. The record is from RNAcentral. Lineage: Bacteria; Pseudomonadati; Pseudomonadota; Alphaproteobacteria; Hyphomicrobiales; Aurantimonadaceae.
AACGAACGCUGGCGGCAGGCUUAACACAUGCAAGUCGAACGCACCUUUCGGGGUGAGUGGCAGACGGGUGAGUAACGCGUGGGAAUCUACCCUUCUCUACGGGAUAGCUCCGGGAAACUGGAAUUAAUACCGUAUACGUCCUGAGGGAGAAAGAUUUAUCGGGGAAGGAUGAGCCCGCGUUGGAUUAGCUAGUUGGUGGGGUAAAGGCCUACCAAGGCGACGAUCCAUAGCUGGUCUAAGAGGAUGAUCAGCCACAUUGGGACUGAGACACGGCCCAAACUCCUACGGGAGGCAGCAGUGGGGAAUAUUGGACAAUGGGCGCAAGCCUGAUCCAGCCAUGCCGCGUGAGUGAUGAAGGCCCUAGGGUUGUAAAGCUCUUUCAGUGGGGACGAUAAUGACGGUACCCACAGAAGAAGCCCCGGCUAACUUCGUGCCAGCAGCCGCGGUAAUACGAAGGGGGCUAGCGUUGUUCGGAAUUACUGGGCGUAAAGCGCACGUAGGCGGAUAUUUAAGUCAGGGGUGAAAUCCCGGGGCUCAACCCCGGAACUGCCUUUGAUACUGGGUAUCUUGAGUUCGGAAGAGGUAAGUGGAAUUGCGGGUGUAGAGGUGAAAUUCGUAGAUAUUCGCAGGAACACCAGUGGCGAAGGCGGCUUACUGGUCCGAUACUGACGCUGAGGUGCGAAAGCGUGGGGAGCAAACAGG